AGAGAGAGAGAGAGAGAGAGAGAGAGAGAGAGAGAGAGAGUGAGAGAGAGAGAAGUACGUGGGGAAAGAUGCUCAUGGGAAACCUCUCUCUUCUUCCAUGGGUCAUAGAAGGGUUUGAGGGACAAGGGGACGUGAGAUACUGCGUUGGGGAAUGAAGAUGGAAGAGGAUGCUGGCGGAAGAGGGGGAGAAGUGGGAAAGAUGCUUGCAAGUGAAAACUCUCUCCUCUUAUGAACGAGAAAGGGAUUGAAGGGCAAGGAAUGAUGGGGGAAGGGUAGGGGAUAGCUUCUUCUUCUGCCCCCAGUAUAUCCAUGGAUGAGAUAUCGAAUGCACAUCUCAACUCAAUCGGUAUUAUCCAUUUCAUACCUUUAUACUCAUUUCUCAAAGGCAAGUCAGCUAGUCAGCAUCCUUUCAAAUCUCGUAGUUCAUCUGAGAGGAAAGUCAGUCCAGUAAUUAUUGUUCUCCUGUAUCGGGAAAGCGUAUGCUAACUUAUGCUAAUGUAAGUCUACGGAGCCUAACCUACGCUGGCCUAAAGUACAGAGUAACCUUAGUUAACGUGAAAUAACUUAUGUGCCGUUCCUGAAAGAGGCGGUCAGUCAGUUAAGUUGUGUAGAAUAGAUACUUGUGUGGGUGCUCUCUCUCUCUCUCUCUCUCUCUCUCUCUCUCUCUGAGUAAUAUCUACACGCGUCAACCCUAAAAUACCUUGUUUCCAUACGUUUUCUUUCUUGGUCUAUUUUCUUUUCUCUCGUCAUCAUUCUCACUCGUUAUUUUCCCUUCUUCGUACGUUGCAUAUAAGUAUUUUCGUAUUUUCAUUCACUUAGACUCUUAUUUGACUGUUUUAGCGCACGUAUGGACACACACACACACACACACACACACACACACACACCGAGACGAGAGGGUUUUGCAUCAAGCUUCGUGUCAGACGGUCGCCACUCGGUCUUGGAGGAGGAGGAGGCGGAGGAGGAGGGUGCAAGGUCAGAGUGAGGGUUCCCUGCUUCCCCGUGUCCGCCGCCACGUCUGCCAUGAACCGUGAGUCACCUUGUCCUUCCCUCAACCUCAUCCCCAUCUUACCCAAUCCUCCUCCUCCUCCUCCUCCUCCAGUUAAACUUGCAUUCUCUAGAAAGGCGAAGGGUGCGAGGAGACAUGAUCGAGGUUUAUAAAUGGAUGAAGGGCUUUAAUAAGGGAGAUAUUCAUAAGGUUUUGUUGGUAAGAGAACCGGGUAGGACACGAAGUAAUGGGUUUAAACUGGAUAAAUUCAGAUUCAACAGGGACAUAGGCAAAAAUUGGUUUACCAACAAGGUUGUGGAUGAGUGGAAUAGGCUUAGCAGUCAUGUGGUGAGUGCCAAUACAAUUGUCACAUUCAAAAAUAGAUUAGAUAAAUUCAUGGACAGCGAUACCAGGUGGGGUUAGAUACACGGGAGCUUAGGGUCAAAGGAACUGCCUUGUAUAGGCCUACCGGCCUCUUGCAGAUUUCAAUGUUCUUAUGUUCUUAUGUUCCUCAUUUCCUUCUUCUAUAAUCUAUCAUCACAAUGACUGGCAUCUUCUAAGUCUUCCAAGUAGCGUGCCUUACCCAAUCCUCCUCCUCCUCCUCCUUCACAUUCUCCUCCUCUAAUCUAUCAUCUCACUGACUGGCAUCUUCUAAGUCUCCCAAGUAGCGUGCCUUACCCAAUCUCCUCUUCCUCAUUCUCCCUACCUUACCCAAUCCUCCUCCUCCUCCCUCCUACUCCUCCUCCUAUUUAUUUUCCUACUUCUCUAAUCUACCAUCUCACUAACUCGAAACUGCUAAGUGUUCGAGUAGUGAGCUUUACCCUCUACUCGUGUUCCCCUACUUCACUCUGUUCUCUUCUUCUCCCUCUUCCUCUACUCUUCUCAGUCCUCCCUCACUUCUCUCUUUCACUCUAACAGGAAAGGACAUGAAUUAAAACCGAGGAAAUUAGUGAGUGUGUGUAUGUGUGUGCUUUCCUUGUGUUUGCCUUUUCGUAAGCAUCUCAUGAAAGUCAAAUGGGCAGUCACUUUUAAUUACCAGCCCAGACCCUUUUUUUUCAUUAACUACUGUAUCUAGUCUCAUCCCGACCCGUCCUGUUCAAUCCUGUGCUACGUUAGUCCGCCCCAUCCACUCCGUCCGCUAAAUAUACUUCACCAUUUAGCACAUAUUUGCAUCCUAACUAACUUAACUAACAGCCUUUCUAUCCUAUACUAUCCUACCGUACCUUACCCUACCCUACCCUACCCCGUCCCAUCCAUUACUACGUCUGGUUCCGUUCUGCUCAAAAUACUUCAUCAUUUGGCACAUAUCUGCAUCCUAACUAACUAACUCUUCCUUUAUCGCAAUCCUUCUGUUCAUUUUCUCCCUGUAUUGCACUGUGACCGUCUAUCCCACCCUUGUACCCAACUCUAUAACGCAAGAUUUUAGUAUAGUCUCUCAUUGCUAACUUAUUAUUCUUAGCAUUAUCUACUCGUAUUCGUAUUCAAGUUUUUAUUAUAUUGUGACUUGUUUUGUGACCACGACCUUACCUAACCUAGCCUUACUUAACCUUUCAGCCUCUAUGCCCUUCUGUUCUAUGCCUUAUGAGGAAAAGAAAACGGGGUGGAGGGAGGGGUGGAGGGAGGGAGGGAUGGAGGUAGUUAAAGUCGUGGUGGUGGUUGACGUUUUCUCCAUAACUAUUCAUUACUAUUCCCUCCUUUAAUGCCUUUGCCGCAGUAGUAGUUAACACACACGAUUCUGCAAUGUUUAUCUUAUCCCAUUGCAUUUAUUACAUUAGUAUGCGAUGUUUUUUCUUUCACCUAACGCGCCUGAUCAACAGCAUAAGCGCUUUAAUAUGCUUCCUCGCGCAACGCCUCGACAGAGAACCCUUGUUUCGUCACCACGGCACCUCGAGGAACUCAGAAAUUAUCAGAACUCGAGCAUAAAAGUCUUGAGAGAGGAAACCAUGCGCGGGAGGGUGGGCAGGGAGGGUGAGCAGUAUGGUGAGGUGGGUUGAAGGGGGGUGGAGUGGGUGGGUGGGAAGGGGAGGCGAGAUGGGGUUUAAAAGUGGGUUGGAAGGAGGGAGAUUGUGUGGGUGGGGAUAUGGGUGGGCUGGGUGGGUAUAAGAGGUGGGUGGGCGAGAGACAGUGUGUGAAUGGAGGCUGAGUGGGUUAGAAGGUGGGCUGGAGAAAAUUAACUGAUAUGGAGGAAAAAUAGGUGGGCUUAAAGGUGGGUGGCAAGAAGCUAACGGAUAUAGGUGGAAAGGUGGUCUAGGAAAGUGGGUGGAAGGAAGACAGUGGGUAUAAGGGGAAUGGUGGGCAGACUGGGUGGAGGGAGGUAUAGCAUGUGGAUGGGAGGGCGGGCAGGUGGGUGGGUUCAAAGCUAUAUAGAUAUUGGACUAAAAAAAGUUUGAGAAUUAAACAGCGGGUGUGAGAGAGUUAAAUGAUGCAAGAAUAGACAGAAAAGAGAAAUGGGAACAGUGAAAUCAAUGGAGAGAAUAGAGAGAAAGAGAGAAAAAGAGACGGGAGAGAGUAGGAAGAGAUACAUAUUGGAGUAGAAAAAAAAGUUUGUGAAUUAGAGUUAUUAGACAGUGGAGGGAGGAAGCGAGACACGAGAUGGCGGUGCAUGGCGGGUAUUCAGUGCCUCUGUGUGUCUGGCCUCUGGUGGGCGGUGUCAGGGGUCAAUGGGGGUAUUGUGUCCUGGAGGCGGAAGAUGCUGAUUCACUGGCGGUAGGAGAGAUGGGUUACUACUGCGCGGGGUGAGUGGCUGGAGAGGGCAGGAGGGAGUGGGUGAGUAGGGAGGCGGAGUCAAGCAUGCAGGCAGUCAGACAGUUAAGCACACCACCGUCUGCAUGGGAAGGAGUCAGGGUUUUUUGGGUGUGUGCUGACGUGCUGGCUCUGGUAACGGUGGAUAGGAUACUGCAGAGGGAGAGGAAGGAGAGAGAGGAUGGAGGAAGGAAUGGAGGGAGAGGAGACGGAGCAAUAGUUAGUUAGUUAAUCAGGUUUUUAUGAGUAUUUACUGACCUCCUAGAUUUGGUAAUGGUGGAUAGGAUACUUCAGGGGCAGAGAAGGGAGGGAGGAAUGGGUUGAGGGAGAGGAGGGAGCGGGAUCAUGGCGAAUAUAGUAAGUUAGUUAAUCAGGUUUUUAUGACUAUGUGUUGACUUGCUGGAUUUGGUCAUGUUGGAUAGGUUACUGCAGGAGAGGGAAAAGGGGAGAAGGGGAGGAGGGAGGAACGACUGGAGGGGGAGGAGAGUGAAUAAGGGAAAUUUUCAAUCCCUCACUAUUUUGCCCUUUCACUUUAUAUUUCCCCCUCUCUUUCUCAUUCUUUUCUCUCUCAUUUUCUUUUUCCCUUUCUCUCACUUUUUCUCUCGCACGUUAUUUUUCCCUCUCUCACUUUAUUUUUCCCUCUCUCACUUUCUAUUUCCUCCUCUCUUUCUCACUUUUUCGCUCUCAUUUUAUUAUUCCAUUUCACUUUUUUCCCUCUCUCGCACGUUCAUUUUCCCUCUCUCACUUUCCUUCCCCCUCUCUCUCACUAUCUUUCUCACCAUCUCUCUCUUAUUCUUCUUCCUCCUCUCUCUUUCUCCGCCUCACAUCCUCCUCUCCGCCGCACAUUAAAAACCCAUUCAUAAACCUAUUAAUAAACCAAACUGCCGGAGCGUCAGUUUUGGUAAUGUCUGAAGCUGUUUAUUUUCGUUACGUCGGCGUAGAUGUGCCUUUGAAACCCAACACGCUUCUCUUCCCCAGGCUCGGCGCUGCUGCUGGGGCGUGGCUGAGGGUGUGUGGCUGAGGGCUCGCUAUGCCGGCUGUUGGGGUCAAGGCGUUAGGAGAGACACAGAGGCACCUUCAAGACCCGACCUGCUGCGUUCUUUGGGGCUCCUCGAACACCUGUCUUUGGAACCAGGUGAGAGAGUAGUGUGGAGGUCUUAGUAUUAUAGGGUCGCGUUCUUGAAGUCGAAAUUGGGUCACGAAAAGUUGGUACUGGGUCAAGUGAUGUAAUUAGUUUAGAGUUGAAAUUAGGUCAGGUAAGGUCAGGUAGGGUAGAGCUCAGGUGAGGUAAGGUUAUAUUAGGUCAGGUGAGGUUGGAAUUAGGUUCUGGUCAUAUUCUUUAACACUUCAGCGCCCAAGCACACAAAUUUGACAAGGCCUUCGUCGGAGUUUUACGCAUUUCCAGCGGUAGUUUUAUGACCCUGGUGGUAGUGUGACCCUUCUUCUGUACCAUGAACCUAAAAACACACUCAUGAGAACUCAUUUAAUCUCCUCUUUAGCCUUUGGAAAUAGCUGAUGUGAGAGGCGGAAGCGUUUGAGAGUACCGACCAUAUAUGAGUGAGUAGUUAGUGGACCUUUGUGUUAGCUCCGUCGUUCACUGAGGCGCCGAAAGUGACAACAGGGAAGGACAGGGACGAUUUAUAUAUAGUCUAAUAACUCUAAUAGCCUCGCAUGGUAGCUAUAUACAAGGAAGAGUCUCAGCCGAUGAAACUAUACGCCCUACUCGCUUCUUUACGUUUACAUACACUUGAGGUGACAUAAACGCCCCCACACACACACACCUUUUCUCCCUCUAUAAGCCUGCAUAAGGAUGACAUACACAUGCACUCCUCCUCUCUCCUCCCGAAACUGAUUUCUCUUUUUGGGCACUCUACUCUAUUUAGGAGCAGUAAGUAGCGGGCUUUUUUUUCAUAUUAUUUUCUCUUUUGUUACGCCCUUGCACUGUCUCCUCUGCUGUAAAAAAAAAAAAAAAAAAAAAAACGCUUGCAUACACCCGCACACCUUUCCCCUCCCUCCCUUCCGCUGGUCUCUCCGUGCGCCGUCGUGUGGAAAAUAUUGCCCCCUUAAGCUUCAUCCUGGCUAAGACGCAAUAAAUCUCUCGCUUUCGGGGAACUCAGGGACUUGCUUGUGUAUAUUUUCCUUAAACUCAGACGCCGGUGAGAAACGUUUUUGGGGACUGGAUACUGUCGAAGGUGAGGCGCAAAGGGUUCUGGGAAAGGCUGAUGCUUCUUCGUCUGACAGUCACGUGAGCCCUCGACUUUCAGGGAGGACUUAUUUAUUUAUUAUUUUCUUCCUUCACUCUGUUCCUCCUCCUCCCCCUUCUCGCUCUCCUCCUCCUCCUCCUCCUCCUCUUCUUCUCUUCGUUUCUUUAUAUAUCGUAUUGAAGGACCGUAAAAUGAUUGCUUCUUUUUCUUCCUUAAUCCUCAACGUCACUUCCUUUUGUCAACUCCGGCGUUUUUAGCGAAGAUUCGAGCGGGCGAACGUAAAAGUUGUGGGGAUUAACUCUCUCUCUCUCUCUCUCUCUCUCUCUCUCUCUCUCUCUCUCUCUCUCUCUCUCUCUCGAGCAUAACCGCGGUCCAUCCUUCCUUCCUUCCUUCCGUCACCCUUCGCCGCCUCCCCCGAGUCCUUGCCGCCUUGACCCGCUUCGUAGAGGGUGAGGGAAGACCAACGGCGCGGCGGAAGCACCACAUAAGGCACUUAGCUCCCCUUCAGCGGCCUCAGGAGUCAAGGGAGGGCGGGAGGGCGUAGAGGGUGUAGGGAAACCAUAUGCAAAUCUUUCACCGUCAGUAUUUAGGGUUGACCUCAUUUCUCUCCCUUUCUGGUUCUUCUUUGUUUUCUCCUUUUCCUGUUUCUACUCUUUUGGGAUCAUCUUGUGUGUCUUCUUUCCUUUCUUGGUUCUUCUUAGUCUCCUUCUUUUCCUGUUUUCUACUCUUGUACAUCUUCUUUCUCCUUAUUAUCCUUAUUUUUUCUUUUACUCGACUCAGCAACCUUCUUCUUCUCCCUUCGUCUUCGUGCACAGUGUAAAAGUUAAAAGAAGCGAAGAUGGGAAGAGGACGUGAGGGAGGAGAGGAGAGGAAAGAUUGAAUGAAGGAGGAAGAAAGGAGUGGGAGGAGGAAAUGACGGGAGAGAAAGAGUGAAAGACGUGAGGAGAAGGAUGAACGAAGAGGAAGAGGAGGAGGUGGAGGAGGAGGAAGAAGAGGAAGACGACAAACAGCAUGAGUGAGGGAGGAAGGGAAG
This is a long non-coding RNA of Eriocheir sinensis (Chinese mitten crab), 6967 nucleotides long. RefSeq lists it as uncharacterized. The record is from RefSeq and is a predicted model, not a curated record. The transcript has 2 exons. Lineage: Eukaryota; Metazoa; Arthropoda; Malacostraca; Decapoda; Varunidae.